Molecule: long non-coding RNA, 1478 nt
Filed under: Citrus x clementina
Lineage: Eukaryota; Viridiplantae; Streptophyta; Magnoliopsida; Sapindales; Rutaceae
Description: Citrus clementina (C. clementina) long non-coding RNA (CCLE_LNC004894)
Source: RNAcentral
CCAAGACCCCCCAGCCGAUAAAUGGCCAAAAAACGGGUGGGCUAUAGCCUUGGUGGGGGGCGUGGGCGAAGUUCGUCCGCGGGACUCGGAAUGGCACCAUACUUGGCGGGCGGCCUCUGUGUGCCAAAAAUAGGCCACGGGCACAGCCGCGCCCAAAAAUCAGCCCCCGAAGGUCGGGGUCCCAAGAUCCCCCAGUGGAAAAAUGGCCAAAAAACGGGUGGGCUAUAGCCUUGGUGGGGGGCAUGGGCGAACUUCGUCCGCGGGACUCGGAAUGGCCCCUGACUUGGCGGGCGGCCUCCGUGUGCCAAAAAUAGGCCACGGGCACAGCCGCGCCCAAAAAUCAGCCCCCGAAGGUCGGGGUCCCAAGAACCCCCAGCGGAAAAAUGGCCAAAAAACGGGUGGGCUAUAGCCUUGGUGGGGGGCGUGGGCGAAGUUCGUACGCGGGACUCGGAAUGACACCUUACUUGGCGGGCGGCCUCUGUGUGCCAAAAAUAGGCCACGGGCACAGCCGCGCCCAAAAAUCAGCCCCCGAAGGUCGGGGUCCCAAGAACCCCCAGCGGAAAAAUGGCCAAAAAACGGGUGGGCUAUAGCGUUGGUGGGGGGCGUGGGCGAAGUUCGUCCGCGGGACUCGGAAUGGCACCAUACUUGGCGGGCGGCCUCUGUGUGCCAAAAAUAGGCCACGGGCACAGCCGCGCCCAAAAAUCAGCCCCCGAAGGUCGGGGUCCCAAGAUCCCCCAGUGAAAAAAUGGCCAAAAAACGGGUGGGCUAUAGCCUUGGUGGGGGGCGUGGGCGAAGUUCGUCCGCGGGACUCGGAAUGGUCCCUGACUUGGCGGGCGGCCUCCGUGUGCCAAAAAUAGGCCACGGGCACAGCCGCGCCCAAAAAUCAGCCCCCGAAGGUCGGGGUCCCAAGACCCCCCAGCGGAAAAAUGGCCAAAAAACAGGUGGGCUAUAGCCUUGGUGGGGGGAGUGGGCGAAGUUCGUCCGCGGGACUCAGAAUAGCAUCAUACUUGGCGGGCGGCCUCUGUGUGCCAAAAAUACUCCACGGGCACAGCCGCGCCCAAAAAUCAGCCCCCGAAGGUCGGGGUCCCAAGACCCCCCAGUGGAAAAAUGGCCAAAAAACGGGUGGGCUAUAGCCUUGGUGGGGGGCGUGGGCGAACUUCGUCCGCGGGACUCGGAAUGGCCCCUGACUUGGCGGGCGGCCCCUAUGUGCCAAAAAUAGGCCACGGGCACAGCCGCUCCCAAAAAUCAGCCCCCGAAGGUCGGGGUCCCAAGACCCCCCAGCGCAAAAAUGGCCAAAAAACGGGUGGGUUAUAGCCUUGGUGGGGGGCGUGGGCGAAGUUCGUCCGCGGGACUCGGAAUGGCACCAGACUUGGCGGGGGGCAUCCGUGUGCCAAAAAUAGGCCACGGGCACAGCCGCUCCCAAAAAUCAGCCCCCGAAGGUCGGGGUCCCAAGACCCCCCAGCGGAAAAAUGGCAAAA